This 207-nucleotide ribosomal RNA is filed under the name uncultured bacterium. RNAcentral describes it as "partial 16S ribosomal RNA". It matches the Rfam family "Bacterial small subunit ribosomal RNA", at positions 568 to 774 of the family's 1533-position model. The record is from RNAcentral.
UGCGCAGGCGGUUCUGUAAGACCGAUGUGAAAUCCCCGGGCUUAACCUGGGAACUGCAUUGGUGACUGCAGGGCUAGAGUGUGUCAGAGGGAGGUGGAAUUCCGCGUGUAGCAGUGAAAUGCGUAGAGAUGCGGAGGAACACCGAUGGCGAAGGCAGCCUCCUGGGAUAACAUUGACGCUCAGGCACGAAAGGCUGGGGAGCAAACA